GAUGAACGCUGGCGGCGUGCCUAAUACAUGCAAGUCGAGCGAACGGACGAGAAGCUUGCUUCUCUGAUGUUAGCGGCGGACGGGUGAGUAACCCGUGGAUAACCUACCUAUAAGACUGGGAUAACUUCGGGAAACCGGAGCUAAUACCGGAUAAUAUUUUGAACCGCAUGGUUCAAAAGUGAAAGACGGUCUUGCUGUCACUUAUAGAUGGAUCCGCGCUGCAUUAGCUAGUUGGUAAGGUAACGGCUUACCAAGGCAACGAUGCAUAGCCGACCUGAGAGGGUGAUCGGCCACACUGGAACUGAGACACGGUCCAGACUCCUACGGGAGGCAGCAGUAGGGAAUCUUCCGCAAUGGGCGAAAGCCUGACGGAGCAACGCCGCGUGAGUGAUGAAGGUCUUCGGAUCGUAAAACUCUGUUAUUAGGGAAGAACAUAUGUGUAAGUACCUGUGCACAUCUUGACGGUACCUAAUCAGAAAGCCACGGCUAACUACGUG
RNAcentral lists this ribosomal RNA (497 nucleotides) under uncultured bacterium. RNAcentral's name for it is "partial 16S ribosomal RNA". It matches the Rfam family "Bacterial small subunit ribosomal RNA", at positions 28 to 507 of the family's 1533-position model. The record is from RNAcentral.